Trichobilharzia regenti is the source of this 49-nucleotide non-coding RNA. Lineage: Eukaryota; Metazoa; Platyhelminthes; Trematoda; Strigeidida; Schistosomatidae. The record is from Rfam.
AUCCAGUUGACGAGUCCCAAACAGGACGAAAUGAGCAUCCUGGCUGGAU